UCCCAUAAUUCUUUUUUCAGGAAUAGUUGCCAGUAUUUACACAGCAGCAUUUCUUCUCAGGCUUAUUGGGUGCUGUUUUGCUUUCUGUGUACUAAGGAAAAUGUCAAACCAGUGCAUUGUGUUCUGGCAAUGGGUGCAGUCAUUGAUGUUCAUAUGCCUUGGGGUAAUAUAUUCCUUAAUUUUCCAUGUGACUUAACAGUUUAAAAAAAAAAGAAAGCGCAGGAUUAGAACAUUAACGACUAGAAAUAACAAUUUUAAAGCUAUUUUGGCACAUUGAUUGUAAAUUGUGUCCCAGUUGUAAACUGAGUUGAUGGGAGUUGCACAAGAUUCAUGCAUAUGUGUAGAAAGUCAUAUUGCGAUAAAGGUAGUAUGAGCAAACUAUUAUUGCACAGGGUCAACAAAAAAUAUGUUGCCAUUUGAAGUUAACGUUACUCGUUUUAAUACAAUAUUACCUCUUUUGUUUUUAUAAAAUGUCCCAACUUCUAAGUUGAUGUGUUCAUUUUGGUUUUUAAUCAAAAAUGUCUCCUGCCAGUAUUACAUGUUCUUUCUGAUAACUUUCGAGGGAGGAUAGCCAAAGAGUGGACGGAGGAAGAAUAUUUUUACGCUAUGGUUAUUCAGUGUACAGCAUAAACCUUCUUCUCUUAAGAUUACAGUUGACCACCAAAAUAAAAUUAAGUAACGUAAAUGACAGAGUGGUUUAAAGGUUACUACCUGAGUUAGUAUUUUCUUAUCACGUUACUUAUUUGACUCUUUUUUUUUUUUUUUUUUUUUUUUUUUCUGCUCUCCUUGACAUGGUGAUUUUUUGUUUUAUUUUUUUUGUCGCCUUUUAGCCAAGGGAAGCUCUUAAUCCUGUGCUUGGUUUAUGACUGGCUGGGUAAUACUAGCUUUAUAAAAUUGCUAACUAAAAGCUGCCACCUCUGUUUUUCUUCACUGAAAUGUUGAUCUUUUUCCCCUCAUACCCUCAGCUAUUAAUUUAAUGUUGCCUUGCCUGUAGCUGCAAUAUUUUGAUAACACGACAUCUUUCAUGUUAAUUUUUUGAAUGUUUAUACAUUGGGAUAAUGCAAAAUGUAAAGCCUUCGUAACCUUACUCACACCAUCUGUAUUUGUCUAUUUCACUUUAUUCAAGUCCUUUAAUUCUAACUGAACACCAGCAGUAUUUUCAGUAAAGCUUCAGCAUUUGAAGAUAAAUAUUGGAAUGUACUUGGGGACUUUAGCUGGGGGUGUGGGGAGGGGAAUAUUUGUCAAACUGUCCGUAGACUUAAUAUUGUGAAUGUCAUUGUUUCAUUUUAUUAUUAUGGUUGAAUUGACUCUGAUGUUCAGUUUGUAAUUUUGGAAUUGCUUUUUUCUUAGAAUUAAAGUCCAACUUUAAAUGUGUGGGGGUUUUUUUGUUUGUUUUUUUGAGAGAAGAAUGAGUUUUGAGUCUGUAUUCUCGUGCAGUACAUACAUGUGAUUUCCUCCUGUCCAUGGUUCCUCUGCUCUGGCUUGCCUGUUGCUCUCCUAGAAAUUCUUGCCCUGCGCAUAGAUACUAACUGGUCUUCCACCUGCACCUGAGAGAUGCUUUGUUGCAAGGUGUUAUGAACUGGAAAAUGCUGCAGUGGUGCUGCUGAAGCUAUUACUAGAGUAGUACAAAUGGCUUUCUCUCAUUUCGUGAAUCUUAUUGUAUGUAAUAAUGGAGUGGAAAAAUACAAAUGUUGCUGUAUGUAAUAAUUUUCUUUUAGUUUAACUUGAUCAUUUUAUGUAUGCAUGUGUGUAAAUAUAUGUAACUCAGCUUUGUUGCAGUCACUGAUUUAGAACCUUUCCCUUGUGUACCAAAUAUGAUAUUUUUUCCACUUUGUAUUAUUUGUAUUACUGUAAUAUUUAGAUAGGAGAAGUCUGUUUUGAGGCCAUCCUAAAAAAUGUAGGCAUCAGAUAAACAAGAAAACAAAGAAAUCAUGACACAUUGCUGGUCCAAACUGAAAUAAACAUCAUAGCAAACUAUUUGUCAAAUCCUUGUUCAGAACAGAAAAUUGAAAAGGCACUUUUGUUUGUCUUUGCCAUGAAGAGGAAUUUUCUGUGCUUUUCCAUUUAUAGCAGGCGUUUUGUAUGAGCUUACUAGGAAAUUUUGUAAGGUCGUUCAGUGAGAUAAGGUCAAUGUUAAUAUUUUGUUUUAGUACGAGAAAUCCAAAUGAGGUCUCAAAGGUGAAGAAAAGCAGUUUAUUGUCUUGCAAGGAGGAAAGAUGAGUAGAUCAAUAGAAAAGUGCCAAGCUUUUGAAACGUCUUACUGAAGUGAUCUUUAGUGUUGUAUUUUAAAAGGAAAUUGGUCUUCAGAUGGAACAUACCAAGGCUGGAGAUGGAGCAGUAGUCAGAACACAAUGAUAAGGAUGAACUGGACAAGAGCAUCUGUUCUGUGCACUGAGGGACAAGGAUGGAUCUUGCAAAUAUUAUGCAGAUUUCUGCAGUGAUUCCAUACACGUGAGAUCAAGUUGUUCUGAUUCUUGUUCAUACCAACAUACUUCGCUUUGCAUCUGUGUGCAUUGUAUGCACAUACGUACGUACAUGUGUUCAAAUUCCCAAGUCCUAGAAACACAAGAACUUAGAUUGUAUUUAAUUAAAAUGAAAAUUUAUUAUUAAUGAAGUCUUUAAAUGGGCUAUGAAAUGCUUAUUAAAAAGCCGUUGAAGGAUUGUUUAAAAAAAAUAAAUAUCAAUUCAGUUUUUA
Molecule: long non-coding RNA, 2695 nt
Organism: Centrocercus urophasianus (Greater sage-grouse)
Lineage: Eukaryota; Metazoa; Chordata; Aves; Galliformes; Phasianidae
Exons: 2
Source: RefSeq, a predicted model, not a curated record